Molecule: long non-coding RNA, 1028 nt
Filed under: Numida meleagris (helmeted guineafowl)
Lineage: Eukaryota; Metazoa; Chordata; Aves; Galliformes; Numididae
Description: lncRNA (ENSNMEG00000000799.1)
Source: RNAcentral
CAUCCCCCCACAGGGACCUCCAACCCCGACAGACUCCUCCCACAGGAAACCCCUGGCCCCACACAUCUCCCUAUAGGAACCCCCAGCCCCACAGAUUUCCCUAUAGAAACCCCCAGCCCCACAGAUUUCCCCAUAGGAACCCCCGGCCCCACACAUCGCCCUAUAGGAACCCCCGGCCCCACACAUCGCCCUAUAGGAAGCCCCGGCCCCACACAUCCCCCCACAGGGACCCCCAGUCCCACAGAUCUCCCUAUAGAAACCGCUCAGCCCCACACAUCCCCCCACAGGGACCCCCAACCCUGACAGACUCCUCCUAUAGGAACCCCCGGCCCCCCAGAUUUCCCCACAGAAACCCCCAGCCCCACACAUUUCCCCACAGGAAUCCCCAGCUCCACAGAUUUCCCUAUAGAAACCCCCCAGCCCCACAGAUCUCCCUAUAGGAACUCCCGGCCCCACACACCCCCCUUCUUCUCCUAUAAGAAUCCCAAAUACACUUAGUCCAUCCCAGUACAUCCCAGUACGUCCCAGUACAUCCCAGUACCCCCCAGCAAGGGUCCUCCUCUCCCAGUACAUCCCAGUACGUCCCAGUACCCCCCAGCAAUGCUUCUCCUCUCCCAGUACAUCCCAGUACGUCCCAGUACGUCCCAGUACGUCCCAGUACGUCCCAGCAAUGCACCUCCUCUCCCAGUACAUCCCAGUACAGCCCAGUACAGCCCAGUACCCCCCAGCAAUGCUCCCCCUCUCCCCGUCCAUCCCAGUACAUCCCAGUACGUCCCAGUACGUCCCAGUACGUCCCAGUACCCCCCCAGCAAUGCUCCUCCUCUCCCAGUACAUCCCAGUACAUCCCAGUCCAUCCCAGUACCCCCCAGCAAGGGUCCUCCUCUCCCAGUACAUCCCAGUACACCCCAGUACAUCCCAGUACCCCCAGCAAUGCUCCCCCUCUCCCAGUACAUCCCAGUACAUCCCAGUACGUCCCAGUCCGUCCCAGUACCCCCCAGCAAUGCUCCCCCUCUCCCAGUACAUCCCAG